UUAACGACUACAAAUUUCAGGUCAUUAAGAGGUGAAUGCUUAGAUUUCCUCUUCCUCCUUGCGAGUUUCUUCACCAAAAGAAUGGACUCAAAAGUGUAAAAACCAACAACACAGCCUGAAAACUUCCACCUCACACCUAGAAGUUUUAGCGUCCCUUCAAUAUUAGGAGUAACUGUCAACUGCACCUGAAAAGGGUAAAAGAGAGAACAGUAAGUCAAUAAACAAAGAAUGUAAUGCAAACACUGGCAGGGGGUGAAUCUGUUGGCCUC
RNAcentral lists this long non-coding RNA (269 nucleotides) under Linum usitatissimum (flax). RNAcentral describes it as "long non-coding RNA (LUSI_LNC001852)". Lineage: Eukaryota; Viridiplantae; Streptophyta; Magnoliopsida; Malpighiales; Linaceae. The record is from RNAcentral.